CAUUUUAAAGUAUUUUUUUCUAAGAUGUGAUGUAGUUCAUCAAAGUAAUGCAGUGCAUUUAUUCACUUGUGUUGUUUCCUCCUGGAUAACGCGUUUAUCAAAAGUUAAUUGAUUGACACAGCGGGAUGCCGUGGUCAGCGCUGAUGAAACCGCUCCUUGCUGCAAACUAUUUCCACGUGAUCUAUAUAGGUCAACUUAUCAAGAUUUUGAAAAACCGGGCAGCAUUCUUGAGAGACAAAGAACAGGAUUUAGGGAAUAUUUUACAUCACCGUAAGUGGCUGUUUGCAAAGACUAAAUAUUACAUGUUAUGAGAGGAAUUGGACAGAAUGAAGUUUGCUACAUACCAUCUUUGAGGGAUUUACCGGGGUAUUAAUUUUAAAGA
This is a long non-coding RNA of Saccostrea cuccullata (small rock oyster), 382 nucleotides long. RefSeq lists it as uncharacterized. The transcript has 2 exons. The record is from RefSeq and is a predicted model, not a curated record. NCBI's taxonomy places the organism in Eukaryota, Metazoa, Mollusca, Bivalvia, Ostreida, Ostreidae.